RNAcentral lists this ribosomal RNA (529 nucleotides) under uncultured bacterium. RNAcentral's name for it is "bacterial SSU rRNA". It matches the Rfam family "Bacterial small subunit ribosomal RNA", at positions 777 to 1302 of the family's 1533-position model. The record is from RNAcentral.
AAUAGAUACCCUGGUAGUCCACGCCGUAAACGAUGAGUGCUAAGUGUUAGAGGGUUUCCGCCCUUUAGUGCUGCAGCUAACGCAUUAAGCACUCCGCCUGGGGAGUACGGCCGCAAGGCUGAAACUCAAAGGAAUUGACGGGGGCCCGCACAAGCGGUGGAGCAUGUGGUUUAAUUCGAAGCAACGCGAAGAACCUUACCAGGUCUUGACAUCCUCUGACAACCCUAGAGAUAGGGCUUUCCCCUUCAGGGGACAGAGUGACAGGUGGUGCAUGGUUGUCGUCAGCUCGUGUCGUGAGAUGUUGGGUUAAGUCCCGCAACGAGCGCAACCCUUGAUCUUAGUUGCCAGCAUUCAGUUGGGCACUCUAAGGUGACUGCCGGUGACAAACCGGGAGGAAGGUGGGGAUGACGUCAAAUCAUCAUGCCCCCUUAUGACCUGGGCUACACACGUGCUACAAUGGAUGGUACAAAGGGCUGCAAACCUGCGAAGGUAAGCGAAUCCCAUAAAGCCAUUCUCAGUUCGGAUUGCG